Molecule: ribosomal RNA, 1471 nt
Filed under: uncultured organism
Description: SSU rRNA
Rfam family: Bacterial small subunit ribosomal RNA
Source: RNAcentral
CUGUUGGCGUGCCUAAUACAUGCAAGUCGAACGCUUCUUUUUCCACCGGAGCUUGCUCCACCGGAAAAAGAGGAGUGGCGAACGGGUGAGUAACACGUGGGUAACCUGCCCAUCAGAAGGGGAUAACACUUGGAAACAGGUGCUAAUACCGUAUAACAAUCGAAACCGCAUGGUUUUGAUUUGAAAGGCGCUUUCGGGUGUCGCUGAUGGAUGGACCCGCGGUGCAUUAGCUAGUUGGUGAGGUAACGGCUCACCAAGGCCACGAUGCAUAGCCGACCUGAGAGGGUGAUCGGCCACAUUGGGACUGAGACACGGCCCAAACUCCUACGGGAGGCAGCAGUAGGGAAUCUUCGGCAAUGGACGAAAGUCUGACCGAGCAACGCCGCGUGAGUGAAGAAGGUUUUCGGAUCGUAAAACUCUGUUGUUAGAGAAGAACAAGGAUGAGAGUAACUGUUCAUCCCUUGACGGUAUCUAACCAGAAAGCCACGGCUAACUACGUGCCAGCAGCCGCGGUAAUACGUAGGUGGCAAGCGUUGUCCGGAUUUAUUGGGCGUAAAGCGAGCGCAGGCGGUUUCUUAAGUCUGAUGUGAAAGCCCCCGGCUCAACCGGGGAGGGUCAUUGGAAACUGGGAGACUUGAGUGCAGAAGAGGAGAGUGGAAUUCCAUGUGUAGCGGUGAAAUGCGUAGAUAUAUGGAGGAACACCAGUGGCGAAGGCGGCUCUCUGGUCUGUAACUGACGCUGAGGCUCGAAAGCGUGGGGAGCAAACAGGAUUAGAUACCCUGGUAGUCCACGCCGUAAACGAUGAGUGCUAAGUGUUGGAGGGUUUCCGCCCUUCAGUGCUGCAGCUAACGCAUUAAGCACUCCGCCUGGGGAGUACGACCGCAAGGUUGAAACUCAAAGGAAUUGACGGGGGCCCGCACAAGCGGUGGAGCAUGUGGUUUAAUUCGAAGCAACGCGAAGAACCUUACCAGGUCUUGACAUCCUUUGACCACUCUAGAGAUAAAGCUUCCCCUUCGGGGGCAAAGUGACAGGUGGUGCAUGGUUGUCGUCAGCUCGUGUCGUGAGAUGUUGGGUUAAGUCCCGCAACGAGCGCAACCCUUAUUGUUAGUUGCCAUCAUUCAGUUGGGCACUCUAGCAAGACUGCCGGUGACAAACCGGAGGAAGGUGGGGAUGACGUCAAAUCAUCAUGCCCCUUAUGACCUGGGCUACACACGUGCUACAAUGGGAAGUACAACGAGUCGCGAAGUCGCGAGGCUAAGCUAAUCUCUUAAAGCUUCUCUCAGUUCGGAUUGCAGGCUGCAACUCGCCUGCAUGAAGCCGGAAUCGCUAGUAAUCGCGGAUCAGCACGCCGCGGUGAAUACGUUCCCGGGCCUUGUACACACCGCCCGUCACACCACGAGAGUUUGUAACACCCGAAGUCGGUGAGGUAACCUUUUGGAGCCAGCCGCCUAAGGUGGGAUAGAUGAUUGGG